Long non-coding RNA from Dalotia coriaria, 514 nucleotides. RefSeq lists it as uncharacterized. The transcript is spliced from 5 exons. Lineage: Eukaryota; Metazoa; Arthropoda; Insecta; Coleoptera; Staphylinidae. The record is from RefSeq and is a predicted model, not a curated record.
AUUACUUUAUCAUUUUCCUAAAUAACUUUUAUGAUUAUUGUACAAAUUGAUCCCUAAAAUUGCAUUUUUAUGUUCGAAGGACUAAUUUUUGCUUGUUUUAGGGAUUUUGCACCUGAGUCUGACAUCGUAGAAGGACCAUUCUUGCAUCAGAUUGUAAGAAAUUAAUUUCUGUAUCAUUUUCCUGAAUAACUUUGGGAUUUUGCACCUGAGUCUGACAUCGUAGAAGGACAUUCUUGCAUCAGAUUGGAUUUUGCACCUGAGUCUGACAUCGUAGAAGGACAUUCUUGCAUCAGAUUGGAUUUUGCACCUGAGUCUGACAUCGUAGAAGGACAUUCUUGCAUCAGAUUGGAUUUUGCACCUGAGUCUGACAUCGUAGAAGGACCAUUCUUGCAUCAGAUUGUUAGUAUUAAAUUAUCUUAAAUAACUUUUGUGAUUAUUAUACAAAUUGACUCCCAAAAUUUAUGCUUGUGCGUUUUCUUUAAUAAAGAAUAUUUUUAAGUUUUUCUAAUCAAAA